GGACUAGUCGUCAAAUAGGCAAGACAUAACAUUUUCACUGUUGAAACGCAGGUUCGAAUCCCGCCUAGUCUA
RNAcentral lists this transfer RNA (72 nucleotides) under Ophiocordyceps unilateralis. It matches the Rfam family "tRNA". From Rfam's summary of the family: Transfer RNA (tRNA) molecules are approximately 80 nucleotides in length. Their secondary structure includes four short double-helical elements and three loops (D, anti-codon, and T loops). Further hydrogen bonds mediate the characteristic L-shaped molecular structure. tRNAs have two regions of fundamental functional importance: the anti-codon, which is responsible for specific mRNA codon recognition, and the 3' end, to which the tRNAs corresponding amino acid is attached (by aminoacyl-tRNA synthetases). tRNAs cope with the degeneracy of the genetic code in two manners: having more than one tRNA (with a specific anti-codon) for a particular amino acid; and 'wobble' base-pairing, i.e. permitting non-standard base-pairing at the 3rd anti-codon position. The record is from Rfam by way of RNAcentral. Lineage: Eukaryota; Fungi; Ascomycota; Sordariomycetes; Hypocreales; Ophiocordycipitaceae.